This 158-nucleotide ribosomal RNA is filed under the name Pyrgophyllum yunnanense. RNAcentral describes it as "5.8S ribosomal RNA". It matches the Rfam family "5.8S ribosomal RNA". From Rfam's summary of the family: 5.8S ribosomal RNA (5.8S rRNA) is a component of the large subunit of the eukaryotic ribosome. The record is from RNAcentral. Lineage: Eukaryota; Viridiplantae; Streptophyta; Magnoliopsida; Zingiberales; Zingiberaceae.
CUCUCGGCAAUGGAUAUCUCGGCUCUUGCAUCGAUGAAGAACGUAGUGAAAUGCGAUACUUGGUGUGAAUUGCAGAAUCUCGUGAACCAUUGAGUCUUUGAACGCAAGUUGUGCUCGAGGCCUUGUGGUCGAGGGCACGCCUGCUUGGGCGUCAUGGC